GGCGAACGGGUGAGUAACGCGUGAGCAAUCUACCUUAGUUACAGGGAUAGCCCGAGCAAACUCGGAUUAAUACCUGAUAUUCUUUACAUUUCGCAUGAAAUCAAAAGGAAAGGUCAGCCGAACUAAGAUGAGCUCGCGUUCUAUCAGCUAGUUGGUGAGGUAAAAGCUCACCAAGGCAACGACGGAUAGCUGGUCUGAGAGGACGAUCAGCCACACUGGGACUGAGACACGGCCCAGACUCCUACGGGAGGCUGCAGCAGGGAAUAUUGCGCAAUGAGCGAAAGCUUGACGCAGCGACACCGCGUGUGGGAUGACGGAUCUAGGUUUGUAAACCACUUUCAGGAGGGAAGAAAAUGACGGUACCUCCACAAGAAGCCCCGGCCAACUACGUGCCAGCAGCCGCGGUAAUACGUAGGGGGCGAGCGUUGUCCGGAUUUAUUGGGCGUAAAGAGCUCGUAGGCGGUUCAACAAGUCGGUCGUAAAAGUUCAGGGCUCAACCCUGAAAUGUCGAUCGAUACUGUUGUGACUAGGAUACGGUAGAGGUGAGUGGAAUUCCGAGUGUAGCGGUGAAAUGCGUAGAUAUUCGGAGGAACACCAAUUGCGAAGGCAGCUCACUGGGCCGCUAUCGACGCUGAGGAGCGAAAGCUAGGGGAGCAAACAGGAUUAGAUACCCUGGUAGUCCUAGCUGUAAACGAUGGAUACUAGACGUAGGAACUGGAUUGACGGUUUCUGUGUCGUAGCUAACGCGUUAAGUAUCCC
RNAcentral lists this ribosomal RNA (759 nucleotides) under uncultured Actinomycetes bacterium. Its description in RNAcentral is "bacterial SSU rRNA". It matches the Rfam family "Bacterial small subunit ribosomal RNA", at positions 97 to 870 of the family's 1533-position model. Lineage: Bacteria; Bacillati; Actinomycetota; Actinomycetes. The record is from RNAcentral.